Molecule: ribosomal RNA, 691 nt
Filed under: Streptomyces sp. PnA 2
Lineage: Bacteria; Bacillati; Actinomycetota; Actinomycetes; Kitasatosporales; Streptomycetaceae
Description: bacterial SSU rRNA
Rfam family: Bacterial small subunit ribosomal RNA
Source: RNAcentral
AUCAUGGCUCAGGACGAACGCUGGCGGCGUGCUUAACACAUGCAAGUCGAACGAUGAACCGGUUUCGGCCGGGGAUUAGUGGCGAACGGGUGAGUAACACGUGGGCAAUCUGCCCUGCACUCUGGGAUAAGCCCGGGAAACUGGGUCUAAUACCGGAUACGACACUCCGAGGCAUCUUGGGGUGUGGAAAGUUCCGGCGGUGCAGGAUGAGCCCGCGGCCUAUCAGCUUGUUGGUGGGGUAAUGGCCUACCAAGGCGACGACGGGUAGCCGGCCUGAGAGGGUGACCGGCCACACUGGGACUGAGACACGGCCCAGACUCCUACGGGAGGCAGCAGUGGGGAAUAUUGCACAAUGGGCGAAAGCCUGAUGCAGCGACGCCGCGUGAGGGAUGACGGCCUUCGGGUUGUAAACCUCUUUCAGCAGGGAAGAAGCGAAAGUGACGGUACCUGCAGAAGAAGCACCGGCUAACUACGUGCCAGCAGCCGCGGUAAUACGUAGGGUGCGAGCGUUGUCCGGAAUUAUUGGGCGUAAAGAGCUCGUAGGCGGUUUGUCGCGUCGAUUGUGAAAGCCCGGGGCUUAACCCUGGGUCUGCAGUCGAUACGGGCAGGCUAGAGUUCGGCAGGGGAGACUGGAAUUCCUGGUGUAGCGGUGAAAUGCGCAGAUAUCAGGAGGAACACCGGUGGCGAAGGC